CGUGCGCGGGCCAGUGGCGAGGCUCCUGUUGCGCCCGCUGUUGCUGCUGCUGCCACCGCCUCGCCCCCUCCCGCCCCUGCUUCCUGCGUUGGCCCGUCCUCCGCUGGGGCGUUUAGAGUGGGUCCUUCUUGCUGCAUUGCACCUCCCGCCGGGGUGAAGAAAUCUGUGAUGGCCCGCUGGCGGGAUCUCUGCUGCUGGGGCUGCCCCAUCAUCUGUCGCUGUCGCUGCUGCUGCUGCUGUCCCGCCGUUGCUGUCGCCCCCAUCCGUCCCUGUCGCCGGGUUGCUGCUCGGAGGCAGCACCUGCCGACUUCCAUGGCGGAUAGCGCCGCUAGGGCGAUCACGUCCCAGGGGCCUUGCUCGCACGCGGGUGGUGCUUGGGCAACCCAGAGCUGCUGUCGGGUGGUGGUGGCCCCUACUGUUGUCUGAGUGUGUGGCAGGUGCCUGU
This 445-nucleotide long non-coding RNA is filed under the name Volvox carteri. RNAcentral describes it as "long non-coding RNA (VCAR_LNC004223)". The record is from RNAcentral. Lineage: Eukaryota; Viridiplantae; Chlorophyta; Chlorophyceae; Chlamydomonadales; Volvocaceae.